This 576-nucleotide ribosomal RNA is filed under the name Shigella sonnei. Its description in RNAcentral is "bacterial SSU rRNA". It matches the Rfam family "Bacterial small subunit ribosomal RNA", at positions 1 to 566 of the family's 1533-position model. The record is from RNAcentral. Lineage: Bacteria; Pseudomonadati; Pseudomonadota; Gammaproteobacteria; Enterobacterales; Enterobacteriaceae.
AAAUUGAAGAGUUUGAUCAUGGCUCAGAUUGAACGCUGGCGGCAGGCCUAACACAUGCAAGUCGAACGGUAACAGGAAACAGCUUGCUGUUUCGCUGACGAGUGGCGGACGGGUGAGUAAUGUCUGGGAAACUGCCUGAUGGAGGGGGAUAACUACUGGAAACGGUAGCUAAUACCGCAUAAUGUCGCAAGACUAAAGAGGGGGACCUUCGGGCCUCUUGCCAUCGGAUGUGCCCAGAUGGGAUUAGCUAGUAGGUGGGGUAACGGCUCACCUAGGCGACGAUCCCUAGCUGGUCUGAGAGGAUGACCAGCCACACUGGAACUGAGACACGGUCCAGACUCCUACGGGAGGCAGCAGUGGGGAAUAUUGCACAAUGGGCGCAAGCCUGAUGCAGCCAUGCCGCGUGUAUGAAGAAGGCCUUCGGGUUGUAAAGUACUUUCAGCGGGGAGGAAGGGAGUAAAGUUAAUACCUUUACUCAUUGACGUUACCCGCAGAAGAAGCACCGGCUAACUCCGUGCCAGCAGCCGCGGUAAUACGGAGGGUGCAAGCGUUAAUCGGAAUUACUGGGCGUAAAGC